Molecule: ribosomal RNA, 751 nt
Filed under: Leifsonia shinshuensis
Lineage: Bacteria; Bacillati; Actinomycetota; Actinomycetes; Micrococcales; Microbacteriaceae
Description: bacterial SSU rRNA
Rfam family: Bacterial small subunit ribosomal RNA
Source: RNAcentral
GGAGGAACAACCGAUGGCGAAGGCAGUUCUCCUGGGCCGUAAACUGACGCUGAGGAGCGAAAGCGUGGGGGAGCGAACAGGGAUUUAGAUACCCUGGUAGUCCACGCCGUAAAACGUUGGGCGCUAGAUGUGGGGGACCAUUCCACGGUUUCCGUGUCGCAGCUAACGCAUUAAGCGCCCCGCCUGGGGAGUACGGCCGCAAGGCUAAAACUCAAAGGAAUUGACGGGGGCCCGCACAAGCGGCGGAGCAUGCGGAUUAAUUCGAUGCAACGCGAAGAACCUUACCAAGGCUUGACAUAUACGAGAACGGGCCAGAAAUGGUCAACUCUUUGGACACUCGUAAACAGGUGGUGCAUGGUUGUCGUCAGCUCGUGUCGUGAGAUGUUGGGUUAAGUCCCGCAACGAGCGCAACCCUCGUUCUAUGUUGCCAGCACGUAAUGGUGGGAACUCAUAGGAGACUGCCGGGGUCAACUCGGAGGAAGGUGGGGAUGACGUCAAAUCAUCAUGCCCCUUAUGUCUUGGGCUUCACGCAUGCUACAAUGGCCGGUACAAAGGGCUGCAAUACCGUAAGGUGGAGCGAAUCCCAAAAAGCCGGUCUCAGUUCGGAUUGAGGUCUGCAACUCGACCUCAUGAAGUCGGAGUCGCUAGUAAUCGCAGAUCAGCAACGCUGCGGUGAAUACGUUCCCGGGCCUUGUACACACCGCCCGUCAAGUCAUGAAAGUCGGUAACACCCGAAGCCGGUGGCCCAACC